UUAAGCUUUAGCUUUUUACAGGCCAUAUAAAAAGUUAUUUUUUCAUUUUCUUAUGUACCAUCAGCCAUCUCCAGUUUUACAAUGUUGUUGGAAGCAAUGCAACAAUCUAAUGAGAUGAUCUGUUUGAGCAGCUGGUUUUAACCUCUGUGACAUUUCAUGUUCAGGGGUAUAAGUCUCUGCUGUCACUUCAGUACAUGGUGUAGAUUUUUUUUAUAUAUAUUUUUUGUUUUCUAUUCACUCCAUCUUUGAGGUUUUUUUCCUUCCUUUGGGUCAGACCUAGCAAGGAGGAAUUGUAACUAAACUGCCAUAUGAUGGAUUUUCUGUGUUGAAUCUGAAUUUUUCUCUUGUUUUCUGACAUCUCUCACAACUGGGAGAGUGUGCAUGAGGAGUGAGCCAAAGUGGAAUAAACUCUUCUCCCCCUUGAGAAUAGAAGUCUCUUUGGCAUCAUUGGUUCAAGGUCACCUGUAGUCCUGUUUCUCCAGCAUGUGUGUUCCUUUUCUCUGCAUUCCUUAGACACCUGAUACCUUGGAGGUGUUUUAAAGGGAUCAGAGAAGUUCAUUUCAGUCCAGCAGACAAUGGAGUCAAGGCAGCUGACUGCACACCCCAGAUCCCAGCACUCAUUCUUUCUUACCUGGAAGAAAUGAGCAGGAACCCACCAAUGACCAAUUGUCAUCAGAAACCUGGUUCAAGUUACAUCCAGACAAUGAGGGAGUCCUGUGGGUCACCAGUUUUGGCAGUGCCAGCAGGGGUGACUGAACAUAGCUCUGCUCUCUGCAGAAGUCCUGCAGCAUGCCCUGGUAUUUGUUGUUCAUACAGCACUCUGUGAAAUUUGGGGGCUGAAGAUGAAGCACCCUGUGUUGUGGUAUUGAAGUGCAACAUGUCAUUGUAAGCAAUAGCUCCUCACAAAUUCAAAAUGAGUUUGAUAGGCUGUGGCACUUGUCACAACAGCUGUGUUUUUUUGUGAUGGUAGGCAUUUUAGGAUUUUUCCCUUAUUUUUUGGUAACUAUUGAAAGGCUUUGCACUGGCAGUGGAAAUAAAUACUCUCUGCAGGCUGCUCAAACAAGAUCUGAACACUGGGCAUUGAAUCAAUGUUCAGAACAACAAUUGUCUGCUUUUGUAAUUCAAUGCAAAAGGAAUAAAAGGGUUUUGGCCAGUAUUUGAGCAUAUUAUCAUCCUGAAGGCAAGACAAACUGUUAACUUGCCAGAGCCAUUUUCUGUUUGUGUGUUUGCCAGCAGUGCAAAAGGGGAGAGAGUGGAGGAGAAAAUCAAAAGAAUAAAGAAAGACUGACUUUAACUUUGUGACAGUUGUUUCAAACUUCUUACUUUGGCCCAAAUGAGGUUUCCUUCUCUAUCCUUCAUCCCAUCUGUAAUUUUGCAGUUGUUUAUGGAUGCACAGUUUGAGGUAAGUAGUAUAGCAAGUCAAACAGCUACAUCUGAGUAGGAGGCAGUUAUGGCUCUAUCUUCCCUGUUCCUCAGACAACACUGACAAGGAAUAUUUGCUGCAUAUUUUUAGCAAGAAUUCUCUGUAGAGCAUUAUCUCAAACAUCUCUCAGUGCACUGUGUGAGCAGUUGGGUGGUGAAAUCUGUUCCAUGUAGCUGCAAUACACAGUGCAUGUGGCUGAAUCCAGAGGAGAAAGGGAUGGGAUUUAUAUAUAUAUAUUUUUUAAAGCCCCACUUUUUGCUUUUCACAGCACUUACCACAGCCCACUGUACAUGAGGAGGAUUAAAUCAGCAGUUACAUGAGUAAUACCACUAGAUAAAAACAACUGGGCAGCAUUCAUGCCUUUUGCUCUCAGUUGUUAAAUAAGGUGGCAGUCCAAGGUUUUGCAGGACUCCUGUUUGCCCCAAGCACACCCAGAGGCUGGCUGUGCUCACUGGUUGUACUUGCAUGGUUUCCUGGCGUGUGCUGUGCCUGGAAUGGCACACUGGUGGUGGCAGCUUGAGUUCUGAGUGUGCAGUUGGGGAUGAAUUUCUGUGCUAAGAUUCCUUGUUGAGGUAUUUGCUGUUAGUUGACUUUAAAUGCAACACUCUAAUGACUCUUUCUUCUUGUUCCUAAUAGGACAGCAUUCAGCAGGUACUCUGGAUUUAGUGAAUUAUGUUGGUUGUUUUUACCUUUUGUCUUCAAGAAUUUUUGUGGGCUUGAAAGAAUUAAUUACUUGGAGACAUUUGGCUAAAAAUUUUGAUUAUUUAACUGCAGUAGUAGAGUUGCAAGGCAUUUAUCACCCAUAUCCUAAACCUUCAAGACAGAGCUGGAUAUUUUACUGCAUUGUAUGUGAUAUCACAAAACUUACACCAUUCCAUCCCAGACCACUGUGAAAACAUCAGUGACUUUCAAAUACCUUUUUGGUCUGGAGAAGUGACAUGGCACAAAGUGCUAGGGUUUCUUUUGAACUAAUUGCUUGAUAUUCAAAGUCUUCCACGAAGGUGAUGAACAGUCCAAGUCUGACAGCUUUGGCUGUGUUUGCUAAAACUGUCUCUAAAUGUCCCAGCAGCACCAGGUUUGCUAUAAUUAUAUGAUGGCCUUGGUAGAUGUAACACUUUUUUUAAACUGUAAAUAAAAAUUCUCAUCUUCUAGAAGUGGCAAGGGCUCAACAUUGUGUUGAGAGGGUAACUUUAAUGCUGCUACUACUCUAUGGGGAGGGGUUUUUAAUGUCUAGAAUGUCCUAUGUCAUACAGGAAAUUAAGAGUGACAUAUUCUUCCCAUAUGCACUUUACAAACAGUGAGGAGGGGACUGGAGGCACAGGGGUGCAGAACAUCCCAAAGGCUUUGCCCAAAGCAAGCCAAAGGUUCCACUGUUUCUCCUCCUUGCUCUACCCUCAGCAGUGCAAAGGGACCUGGGAGGACCAGGCACACUCCUGUGACAGUGUCACAUCUGGCAUGGGACAAACUGCUCUCUCUUGAUGCCACAGUUCAUCCUCUGUGGCAGAGAGCUGACUCCCCUUCUGUGUGGUAUUAUAAGGGUACAUUCAUUAAUGUUUCUAAAGCAUUCAGAGCAGUGGAGCCUGUGCAGUGUGAAGUGACUUUUUCUGUUCUCUAGUGACUGUCAUUUGUAUAGUAGAUAUGCUGUGCUUCAGAAGGAAAAACAAGUCAAUAACAAAUCCUUUAGGGUUUAUGAUUUAAUAAUUUCAUGGCUAAUAGACUAAUUCUGCUGUGCCUUCAUUAUGAUUUUUUUUUUACUUGGUUCAUUUUUUAUAACCUGGCAGAAAGAUUUAAUUUUAGAAGUUUCAGUUGACAAAGACAUGCUGGUGCUAGAUAUGAAUUUCAGAUCAUUGUCAUUGUACUCUAUUUUUAAAUUCAAGUGCCUGCCAACUGAAAGAGCACCCUGUGUCUGUGCUGGGUGUUCUGCAUCCGUGCUACAAAGCUGGGUUCUUCCAAGCUUCAGCACAAGACCAGCCAGUUUACUUUUAUAUUUUUUCCUGUUUAAUGGAGGGAAAUGUUCUAGCACCUUUUCAUUAUCACAGAACUAAAACUGGUCAUGAAAACAAUCCCCCUCCCUCCAGAGGCCUGCACAGGCAUUGGCCAUUGUUAAGAUGCUUGCCUAUCAACAACCACUUGAGAAAGAAUUUUAAAUGGUUUUGUGACGUCAAGGAGGCACAAGAAAACAUAGUCUGGUGCCAAAUUGCCUCCAUCAUUGAAAGCACACAGUAAGAAAUAGAUAACACAGAAAUAAAUCUUUUGUGCUGUAGCUAUCUCAUGAUAUGCUCUAGCGACUCCAGAAAGUGAGCUUGUCUGGUAUAGGAAUAGCUGAAGAAGAUGAACUUUGAGAGCCUCAUUUUCUAAUUUAUGAUUAAUGAAAAGCUGGCCUGAUCAGUCUGACUUCCUGCUGUCUGCACACAAUGUCUGCGGGGAGCUUGGACCUCGCGGAGGGAACCGCCCUGACCAAGUUUCAGCCUACAAAAGUGAACACUUUAAGUACGGUGGACAAAAAGCUCUAUCUCUUGAAUGAAAAGAUGGACAAACUGUUGCAUUUCCAUGAAGACCUGUCAGGCAAACUGCAGCGAGUUGACAGAGGCAUUGCUGAUGUAGAAAGUGGCAUUAACAAGCUCCCAGUAUCCCGAGCAGCUCCUGAUGACACGGAUGCAAAGCAGAAAGGCCUGGAGGUACCGGACAGUGCUGCCCAGGCUGACGUCCAGAGCAUGUGCUCAGAAGUGUUGAAUUUGAUGAAAGCUGCCCAGCUAGAUGCCUCCAAGCAUAAGGAGAGGCUGGCAAAGAUAGAGAAAAGGGUUGAUACCCUGGAUAAAGUUAUUACAUUUGUGGGAGAAGUAUUAAAAAAUUCUAAAGUAGUGGAUUUCAUUCUCAAAGGCAUUGUGCCCUGGAAGAAGGGGAGUCUGCUGGAAAUCCCUGUUGAGGAUUGUGCCAGAAUAAUGUUCACCCUGGUCAUUGUUGCAGGUUUGCUUAGAGCUGUAAUAAAAAGGGCCAAAGACAAGUCUGAGGAGAGUGGUGCAAAACCUAAGCAUGUGCUUAGUAACAGAGGAACCCAGACUGAAAGCAAGAAGCCUCUGGAAGAGACAAAAAGCGUGAAGAAGCUGGAUGAAAACAAGGGAGCAUGUGAGAAGGUGAAUACUUCCAGUGCUGUAGCCCACAAAGCUGACUCCAAACCCCAGAUUAAAGACAGGACAGCACAGCAGCAAGGGGUAGAAGGUGCUGGCAAAACACAGAGCUCUAAGAGCUGUCCACAGCAAAAGGACAUCGAUGUCAAAGCUUUGAAUCAACACAACGGUCUUCCCUUGGUACAUCAGGAUCAUGUGGGCAACCAAAAUGCUCCUGCUAAAGCACAGAACGUGGACAGAGCCCCACACCUUGAUGAGUGCCACAGGCAGCUUGUUCAUCAGAAACCUGGGAAGAAUGAAAACAAACCUCCAGCACCGAGUGCGGCCUCCCGGGAAGCCGUGCCCUCCACAUCCCGGGCUAUAUCUGACACGGGGUGUGAAGUGACACAUACCAGGAUAUCCAUCAGUGUGCAUAUGACUGACAUGAAAGAAAAGAUUGAGAUGGCCAAGGAGGGAAACGUAAGUGACAGCAGAGGUAAAAGUCCCAAGUCCACACCAUCAGACUUGAAAGGAGCCAAGCAGGGGCCUGACAAAUUAAAACUUCAACAGAGUCCUAAAAACAUCAGCUCCAAGCCAAAUUCAGAAGUUAAAGGGGACAAUAAGCAAAAUGAACUUGCAUCUCAAACAGGGAAGCAACAGCCAUCCCUGAGAAAGCCCAAACCAGGUGACAAACCUGAAGAGAAAUCAGAAUUAAAAUGCGAGCCCAUAACCUCACAGAAUACCCCUGCCAAGAAGCCUGUGAAAGAUGCAGGGGUAGAAGUGAAAAUCCAUCAAGAAACAGCAAAAGUGAAAAAAUCCCCAACAGAUAGCAAGUCUGAGAGGAGGGAAUCUGAGACUGCAGGGGGAAGUGGACACAACACUCAGCAGAGUACAGGAGAGACAGGAGAGGCACCAGAGAAGACCAGGUCUCUGGAAGCUGGCAGAGCUCUUCCCACUCAAGGAGAAAUCAUCGAUGACAGCCCCUCUCCUCCAGCUCCUUUCGAGCACCGCAUCGUGAGUGUCAGGCAAGCAGAGGUGACCACCAGCUACUCCGUGUGUCGGCACGAGGUGCUGGGAGGGGGGCGUUUUGGGCAAGUCCACAAGUGCACAGAAAUAUCGACGGGGCUCAACCUGGCAGCCAAAAUCAUCAAAGUGAAAGGAGCCAAAGAGAAGGAGGAAGUAAAAAAUGAAAUUAACAUCAUGAAUCAGUUAAAUCACGUGAAUCUGAUCCAGCUUUAUGAUGCUUUUGAAGCCAAAAAUAACAUCACUUUGAUCAUGGAAUAUCUUGAUGGUGGAGAAUUAUUUGACCGGAUCACAGAUGAAAAUUACCAUCUGACGGAGCUGGAUGCCAUCCUGUUCACCAAACAGAUUUGUGAAGGAGUCCACUACUUGCACCAGCAUUACAUUCUCCACUUAGACCUGAAGCCUGAAAACAUCCUAUGUGUAAGUCACACAGGAAACCAGAUUAAAAUUAUUGACUUUGGAUUAGCAAGGCGGUACAAGCCUUGUGAGAAGCUGAAGGUGAAUUUUGGGACUCCGGAGUUCCUGGCUCCCGAAGUGGUGAACUACGACUUUGUUUCCUUCCCCACGGACAUGUGGAGCGUGGGUGUCAUCACGUACAUGCUGCUUAGUGGCCUGUCCCCUUUCCUGGGAGAGACUGAUGCAGAGACAAUGAAUUAUGUAGUCAAUUGCAGCUGGGAUUUUGAUGCAGAAGCAUUUGAACAACUCUCAGAGGAUGCCAAAGACUUUAUUUCCAGACUGCUUGUGAAGGAGAAAAGCUCAACUGAGCCACUGCAGAGCCACCAGCCGUCCUGCAUCCCACUCACCCCUCCUGCUGGAGAGUGCAGGAUGCUAUCGGGAUCCCAGGCUCGGGGAUGAGCAGCAUUUGCACUCGUGUCCAUUCAUUUGAGGUGGUUUCUUUAUGGCUAACAAGGAGGAGCGCUGAGGAGGUGAGCAGAGGGGGCUGGCUGGGUUUUCACGGCAGAUCCCUCCCUGCAGCUGCCGGAUGAGCGCGACGCAGUGUCUGAAGCACGAGUGGCUCAACAACCUCCCUGCCAAGGCCCAGAAGUCAAAUUUCCGCCUGAAAUCCCAGCUGCUGCUGCAGAGUUACAUGGCCCACAGGAAGUGGAAGAAACACUUCUAUGUGGUGGCUGCUGCUAACAGGCUGAAGAGAUUUCAGAGUAUGUCUGUCAAGCUUGCGUGAGCUUGUGUGAAACCUCCACCACUCCUGGAGAUGGACAUGAAGCCAUGGAAGGAGGACUCAGUGUCUUCAGACAUUUCUAUCCCUGUUUUAUAACAUGAGGUUUUGGGACUGUCUUCCUCAAUUAUUCUGUGUGUUAGUACUGCAGUUCCAGAAGUGCCUUAAGGAAGAGGCACAAGAUUUCUGAAAGCAGAAGCUAUUUUGUUUGUUUUUACAAGUUUUUAGUUGUUCUAUACAGUGCUGGAAAAACGUGGCUGUUACUGGGGCUGACUUCUUGCUGAAGGCUUUGAUUCUGCAGAGUAUUGUUGGUGUGUUUAUAGCAGAAAACCCCUGGCAGUUUUCUAGUCUCUCCCAGCAAGCACAGGAUCUUGAAAGACUCUUCCUGACUGAUGUAUGUGUGUUACCAGUUUAGAGAAUGGCCACACAGUGGCACAAACUUGUCCCUCAGGUGUUUGUUACUUAAAACAGAAGAUACAGACAUCAUUUUCUUUCCAAAACGUAAUUUCCCCGCAACAUGAAGAUGCUCCGGUGCAACUCCAGCUCGGAUGGUUUUGGUUUGUUGUUUUGGGUUUUAUUAUUCUACUCUCUCCUUUAAAAAACAGUCACUGCAUAGUUAGGAACUAUGAGGAACCCUGGUUUGAAGUAACUUAAAUCAGUCCAUUGCUGCUGUUUCUAAGGGCAAGUUGAAUUAGCUGAACUGAUUGAACUUCUGGAAGGAGAUGUGUGAAAUUGCCAUGAAUACAAAUCACCUAAUGACUGUUGGGUCUAUGCAAAAAGAUCUCAUGGUGUAGAGAAAAGAGGAGAAUUCUGGAGUUUUUAUGUUUUUAAAACUUUUAAGUGCUUUUCUUUGUCCAUGACUGCAGCACUUAAGUUGCUAAGUUUUAGUCUGAGGAUUUGUUUCUCCUCUCUGGGAAUUUUAAUGCAGUCUGAGGAGCUGGUAUAGUGUGACAUGCAAAACAGGUUUCAUUUCUAAUAGGUUCAGUGACAGUGAAACAAAGUGUUGCCAGACUCUGCCUUUACUCCAGUUAGGAGGUUGAAGCCCUUUUUUCCCCCCUCACUUUGCUCUUGAACAUUAAACUUUUUCUUCACAAUAUUAACUUAUUUUGGAUUUUAAACUCUUAUGUGUAGAGUUGGAGUCACAAUCUUUCAGAUAAAAGUACAACACUAUUUAUUAAACCUGUGGUUUCCUGUUCUGGA
Molecule: RNA transcript, 7927 nt
Organism: Parus major (Great Tit)
Lineage: Eukaryota; Metazoa; Chordata; Aves; Passeriformes; Paridae
Gene: MYLK3
Gene name: myosin light chain kinase 3
Exons: 14
Source: RefSeq, a predicted model, not a curated record